This 492-nucleotide ribosomal RNA is filed under the name uncultured bacterium. RNAcentral's name for it is "partial 16S ribosomal RNA". It matches the Rfam family "Bacterial small subunit ribosomal RNA", at positions 29 to 507 of the family's 1533-position model. The record is from RNAcentral.
AGUGAACGCUGGCGGUGGGCCUAACACAUGCAAGUCGAACGGCAGCACAGUAAGAUCUUGCUCUUACGCGUGGCGAGUGACGGACGGGUGAGGGAUACAUCGGAAUCUACUUUUUCUUGGGGGAGAACGUAGGUAAACUUACGCUAAUACCGCAUACGACCUACGUGUGAAAUCAGUGGAUCUUCGUACCUUGCGCGAUUGAAUGAGCCGAUGUCGGAUUAGCUAGUUGGCGGGGUAAAGGCCGACCAAGGCGACGAUCCGUAGCUGGUCUGAGAGGAUGAUCAGCCAAACGGGAACUGAGACACGGUCAAGCCUCCUACGGGAGGAAGCAGUGGGGAAUAUUGGACAAUGGGGGAAGGCUUGCUCCAGACCUCCGCCGUGGGUGAAGAAGGCCUUGGGGUUGUAAAGCCCUUUUGUAGGGAAAGACAAGCAGCAGGUUAGAACGCUGAUGUUCUGACGGUACCCAACGAAUAAGCAACGGCUAACUUCGUG